UACAGAGGUCCCAAGCGUUGUUCGGAUUCACUGGGCGUAAAGGGUGCGUAGGUGGUGGGGUAAGUCGGAUGUGAAAGCUCGGAGCUCAACUCCGAAAUGGCAUUGGAAACUACCCUGCUAGAGGAUUGGAGGGGGGACUGGAAUUCAUGGUGUAGCAGUGAAAUGCGUAGAGAUCAUGAGGAAGACCAGUGGCGAAGGCGGGUCUCUGGACAGUUCCUGACACUGAGGAGCGAAAGCGUGGGGAGCGAACAGG
Molecule: ribosomal RNA, 253 nt
Filed under: uncultured bacterium
Lineage: Bacteria
Description: partial 16S ribosomal RNA
Rfam family: Bacterial small subunit ribosomal RNA
Source: RNAcentral